CCGCCCUGGGCGCGCAGGCGCGGAGCGAGGUAGCGGAGACGUGGCAGGAGCUCGUCCCGCAUCCGGCUCGGGUUCCUGGAGCCGCCCGCCGAGGGCGAGCCGUGCCACGGAGGCGGAGUGGGAGAAAGGGAAUGUUUACAGAACAGUUUGCAUCCCGCGAGGAAGAGAGAGAGAGAAAAGACAGCCGGAGGGAGGAAGGGAGAGCCUGGGGCAGACGCGUCCGUGUGCCGCAGGAACGGUGGCCGGAACUGGGCGAGUGGCACAGAGGUGCGCCAGCCUGCAGGCCGCCCUCGGGCUGCCUUUCCGGUGAGGACCUGAGCUGUAGGCAAGUAAACCUGUUGAUGCCACAAAGAAAAUGGCAACAGUACUAGCGAAGUGUUUCAACUACUGCCCGGCGUUUCUGCCUGCUACUGGCUCCGUCUCUUAUCUAGCUCCUUCUAUGGCUAUCUUGGUAGGUGCUCCGCACCAGCUGAAAGGAAACUUUAAAGGCCAAUGUUCUCCAGCCCAGCCUUGAACAAGCUCACUAAACCACCACGACAAAGAACGCUUUGUAACCAUGUGCCAGCUGAGACACUGCCCCUCCUCUGUGUAGAACCCUGCCUUCUCUGGGCCUGUAAAAAUAAAGCCUAGAAGAGAAAAUAAACGAUGUGUGAAGGAAA
This is a long non-coding RNA of Peromyscus eremicus (cactus mouse), 659 nucleotides long. RefSeq lists it as uncharacterized. Lineage: Eukaryota; Metazoa; Chordata; Mammalia; Rodentia; Cricetidae. The transcript is spliced from 2 exons. The record is from RefSeq and is a predicted model, not a curated record.